CCGCGUGUGUGAAGAAGGCCUUCGGGUUGUAAAGCACUUUCAGUUGUGAGGAAAAGUUAGUAGUUAAUACCUGCUAGCCGUGACGUUAACAACAGAAGAAGCACCGGCUAACUCCGUGCCAGCAGCCGCGGUAAUACGGAGGGUGCGAGCGUUAAUCGGAAUUACUGGGCGUAAAGCGCACGCAGGCGGUUUGUUAAGCUAGAUGUGAAAGCCCCGGGCUCAACCUGGGAUGGUCAUUUAGAACUGGCAGACUAGAGUCUUGGAGAGGGGAGUGGAAUUCCAGGUGUAGCGGUGAAAUGCGUAGAUAUCUGGAGGAACAUCAGUGGCGAAGGCGACUCCCUGGCCAAAGACUGACGCUCAUGUGCGAAAGUGUGGGUAGCGAACAGGAUUAGAUACCCUGGUAGUCCACACCGUAAACGCUGUCUACUAGCUGUUUGUGACUUUAAGUCGUGAGUAGCGAACCUAACGCGCUAAGUAGACCGCCUGGGGAGUACGGCCGCAAGGUUAAAA
Molecule: ribosomal RNA, 510 nt
Filed under: Alteromonas sp.
Lineage: Bacteria; Pseudomonadati; Pseudomonadota; Gammaproteobacteria; Alteromonadales; Alteromonadaceae
Description: bacterial SSU rRNA
Rfam family: Bacterial small subunit ribosomal RNA
Source: RNAcentral